UACGGAGGGUGCAAGCGUUGUCCGGAAUCACUGGGCGUAAAGGGCGCGUAGGCGGCCUGGCAAGUCUGAUGUGAAAGCCCUCGGCUUAACCGAGGAAGUGCAUUGGAAACUGCUGGGCUUGAGUGCGGGAGAGGUAAGCGGAAUUCCGAGUGUAGCGGUGAAAUGCGUAGAUAUUCGGAGGAACACCGGUUGCGAAGGCGGCUUACUGGACCGUCACUGACGCUGAGGCGCGAAAGCGUGGGGAGCAAACAGG
RNAcentral lists this ribosomal RNA (253 nucleotides) under uncultured bacterium. RNAcentral describes it as "partial 16S ribosomal RNA". It matches the Rfam family "Bacterial small subunit ribosomal RNA", at positions 524 to 776 of the family's 1533-position model. The record is from RNAcentral.